GUGGGUGACUGCAGAAUUAGUCUUCACAGAGGUCGGAGGUAUGGCAACAGAGUCCCUGAAAUCAGGGAGUACAGCAGGGCUUGCCACUGGAAAAAAGGUUUAAUCUGUUUCUGACAUAACUUUGAAGAUGUCCAUAGCAGCUUUUAAGAUAUUCAUAAUUCUUAAAUUUGUAAAGGCCUCAGGUGGAAUCCUGGUCUCUCGUUAACCUCCUGAAAAGCUGGUAGCCAGUGUAGGGUUUUUCCCCUUGUACAACUGGCAUGUUUAUUCAAAAAACUCUGUGAAGACUUUAAAUACUUAAAUGAUAGAAGGAUUCCAGAGGUAUGGGCAUGACUGAAAUCAGACUGGAAAGUUCUAAUGACUCACCACCAUGUAUGCCUCGUACCACUCUUAAGAGGAAUGUUAUCAACUUCUCCAUUGGCAUAUUGCCACCUUCAGACUGUAUUUAAACUGUGCACUUUCUGAGAAGCAUGGCCUUCUGCAAUUUGUAAAGGUUAUCUCUGGCUAUGUGUCAGCUUAUCAAUGAAUAAUGUAAUCAUCCAUUUUAUUCUUGUGUCCUCCUUAAUGUGCCCUGUGAAUGCACCUGGAAACAAGAUGUUACCAGUUUAAUGCUUUUCAUAGUAGUGCUUUUAAAAUAAAUAGUCAAAAUAAACAGCUAUGCUAGAGGC
Protopterus annectens (West African lungfish) is the source of this 665-nucleotide long non-coding RNA. RefSeq lists it as uncharacterized. Lineage: Eukaryota; Metazoa; Chordata; Ceratodontiformes; Protopteridae. The transcript has 3 exons. The record is from RefSeq and is a predicted model, not a curated record.